Silurus meridionalis is the source of this 1073-nucleotide long non-coding RNA. RefSeq lists it as uncharacterized. The transcript has 3 exons. The record is from RefSeq and is a predicted model, not a curated record. Lineage: Eukaryota; Metazoa; Chordata; Actinopteri; Siluriformes; Siluridae.
GGUUAUCCGAAGUUGUACUCACAAAAUUAUAUGAUGGCGGACUGCAAAGGCUUAUUGUCCAACUGCUGCAACAUUAAGCAGGAUAAUAAGAUGGAAACAGGUCCAGCUGGAAUGAUUCUGAUUUCUACAUGAUUCCAGGUCCCUUAUUUCUCCCUUCCUUGUAUCAUGGGAUGGCAGCUCCAGGUUCCCCAAAUUAAUCUUGAAUUUGAUUGUACCACUAGGCUUUUGUCCAUGUUGUGUUUUGUAGUGUCCGGUAUUUGUGUAAGCUUUCUCUGGGUUCUCCAGUUUCCUCAGCUUCCAAAAAACAUGAAACAGAAUUGGCUACGCUCGGUGUGUGCUUAUGUCUGUGUGUGUGUGUGUGUGUGUCUGUGUGUGUGUGUGUGUGUGUUGGUGUGAUGAUGCCAAUUUCAACCCCAGCACCAUACACACAGCUGCAGUAAUUUAUAGGGCUGUCUCCUGGGAGUGUCACUUGCUGCAUGUAUGUGCUCUGAAAAUCAAUUACCCUGCUAUUGUGAUCUUGAAUGUGCUGUUUAGUGCUAAAGAAUUAAAUGAUGCUUCAUAACAAAUGCUGAUUUAAUAUUCAUUUUUUUUUAAAAAACAGCCAAUCCAAUGUAAUUAAAUGUAAAUUAAUUAACAGCAAAAUGUAAAUAUUUUACUGUACAUUGAAUUUGAAAUACAAUAUCUAAAUAUUGUUUCUAUAUAAACUCACAAAGCAAUUUUUUUAGAAAAUGGCUAUAAAACUGUAUAGAAUAGAUAAAAAGAUAUAUUGAAAACCCAGUGAAAAUGAAUAAAUUUCUAAAAAUGUUAAAAUUCUGCUCUUGCUGCUCUUCAAAAACAAAAGCUUUACUACAUGUCAUAUGGUGGCUAUACAAGUUUUUUUUGGGGGGGUAACUUUUUUAGUACAAACCAUUGUAUAUAAUUAAAUAUAAUCUUUUUUUUUUUAAUAGUAUUUUACUCAUUACUGUAGCAUACUUUGUUAAAGGCUGCUACAUUGCUUGGAAUGGAGAUAGGAAGAACUGAGGUGGAUUUUUGUCUCUUGCUUUGUUAAACUGAUGUUUAAAAGUCUGCCUGAA